AAAUUGAAGAGUUUGAUCAUGGCUCAGAUUGAACGCUGGCGGCAGGCCUAACACAUGCAAGUCGAACGGUAACAGAAAUCAGCUUGCUGAUUUGCUGACGAGUGGCGGACGGGUGAGUAAUGUCUGGGAAACUACCUGAUGGAGGGGGAUAACUACUGGAAACGGUAGCUAAUACCGCAUAA
Molecule: ribosomal RNA, 182 nt
Filed under: Escherichia coli
Lineage: Bacteria; Pseudomonadati; Pseudomonadota; Gammaproteobacteria; Enterobacterales; Enterobacteriaceae
Also listed under: 1 other name
Description: partial 16S ribosomal RNA
Rfam family: Bacterial small subunit ribosomal RNA
Source: RNAcentral